UACGUAGGGGGCUAGCGUUGGUCCGGAUUUAUUGGGCGUAAAGGGUGUGUAGGCGGUUGUUUAAGUUUGGUGUGAAAUCUCCCGGCUCAACUGGGAGGGUGCGCCGAAUACUGAAUGACUUGGAGUGCGGGAGAGGAGAGUGGAAUUCCUGGUGUAGCGGUGAAAUGCGUAGAUAUCAGGAGGAACACCGGUGGUGUAGACGGCUCUCUGGACCGUAACUGACGCUGAGACGACGAAAGCGUGGGUAGCAAACAGG
Molecule: ribosomal RNA, 256 nt
Filed under: uncultured bacterium
Lineage: Bacteria
Description: partial 16S ribosomal RNA
Rfam family: Bacterial small subunit ribosomal RNA
Source: RNAcentral